RNAcentral lists this RNase P RNA (402 nucleotides) under Leptolyngbya sp. 15MV. Its description in RNAcentral is "RNase P RNA component class A". It matches the Rfam family "Bacterial RNase P class A". Rfam says of the family: Ribonuclease P (RNase P) is a ubiquitous endoribonuclease, found in archaea, bacteria and eukarya as well as chloroplasts and mitochondria. Its best characterised activity is the generation of mature 5'-ends of tRNAs by cleaving the 5'-leader elements of precursor-tRNAs. Cellular RNase Ps are ribonucleoproteins. The record is from RNAcentral. Lineage: Bacteria; Bacillati; Cyanobacteriota; Cyanophyceae; Leptolyngbyales; Leptolyngbyaceae.
CCAGGGGGCCGGGCAGCCGCGGAACUUCGGUUCCGAGGAAAGUCCGGGCUCCACGAAAGCAAGGGUGGCGGGUAACGCCCGCCGGGGGCGACCCCAGGGAAAGUGCCACAGGGAGCAGACCGCCGAUGGCCCGGUAACGGGCACAGGCAAGGGUGAAAGGGUGCGGUAAAGGCGCACCGGGGCUUCGGCAACGCGGCCCGCAUGGCAAACCCCACCCGGAGCAAGGCCGAAUAGGGAUCCCGCGUUUCUUCGGAGACAGGGCGCUUCGCCCCAGAGGAUCCGGGUUGGCUGCUGGAGCCGCGGAGCGAUCCGUGGCCUAGAUGAAUGGCUGCCCUCGCGGGGCAGGUGCCUCAUGGCAUACCGCCCGCGAGACAGAACCCGGCUUACAGGCCCCCUGGCAAC